This 578-nucleotide long non-coding RNA is filed under the name Pan troglodytes (chimpanzee). Its description in RNAcentral is "long non-coding RNA NONPTRT004047". The record is from RNAcentral. Lineage: Eukaryota; Metazoa; Chordata; Mammalia; Primates; Hominidae.
GAAAGAAGCUGGGCAAGCUAAAGGACACGGUCCUCUUUGGAUUCCAGCACGACGCAUCAAACCAUACCAUGACGUGACUAGGACCCAACCUGGUACCAGAAAUGAAGGAACUGACCCUACAGGACUCACAACCCUGGAUAAUGCAGUGUCCUCGGACGGCAACAAGCUCUGGACAUUACCUGGGGGAUGCUGAAGGCGGCAACUGAGGAGGCUGAAUGAAUCCUGCUCCAGACACAGACACCAUUCACUCCAGAUAAUUUGUUGCUUGCUAUGCUCUCUGUUGUACAUCGCAACUCGCAUAGGGAUGCAAAGCCGGAAUAAGAGCAAUGACCACCAUGCCUGACAGACCUGUUGCUGCGCACACCUGUACUCUCCAAUGAACAAGACUGAAUGCAAAAAAACAGAAAAUGGGGAGAUUUAGGGGAUCAGUCAGAGUGGUUGGAAAAUUGUAAGAUGAAGUUACAGGAUAUAGACACAAACCUUCUUGGAAGGCCAGAAGGUUUGCAUAGCUUCAGUAAAGGAUUUGGCUGAAAUCCUUUUUACCUCUAAUCCCCUUUACCUUGAGUUGAUAGCAAUAG